CCCCCCGUAGCUCAGUGGCAGAGUGCCCCACUUAUUCUUAGGAGUAUUCUUAGGGGAGGAUCGCGGUUCGAGUCCGCGCGGGGGGA
RNAcentral lists this transfer RNA (86 nucleotides) under Aspergillus ibericus CBS 121593. It matches the Rfam family "tRNA". Rfam says of the family: Transfer RNA (tRNA) molecules are approximately 80 nucleotides in length. Their secondary structure includes four short double-helical elements and three loops (D, anti-codon, and T loops). The record is from Rfam by way of RNAcentral. Lineage: Eukaryota; Fungi; Ascomycota; Eurotiomycetes; Eurotiales; Aspergillaceae.